RNAcentral lists this long non-coding RNA (359 nucleotides) under Sus scrofa (pig). RNAcentral describes it as "lncRNA (ENSSSCG00015039000.1, ENSSSCG00040045585.1, ENSSSCG00060035062.1)". The record is from RNAcentral. Lineage: Eukaryota; Metazoa; Chordata; Mammalia; Artiodactyla; Suidae.
CUUUGAUGAUGUAGACAGCAUGAAGCUGAAGAACUGCACCCAUCUCGAAGGUGGAAAUAGCUGCCAUGUCCAUGUGUGCAGAGUCGGUCCAGGCUGUCUUGGCACUGAGUGCCUCACUCCAGCCCCCGCACCUUCGCAGGCAGGCACAAGGAAACUGAGAUUCGAAGAAGGAAGUGAAGCCCCUGGUAUCUCAAACACAUAAGGAGGAGGAAGAGGAGACGGCAGAAGGUACCCCACGUCAGUGCUCGAUCAAGCUCUAGCACUUAUUGGAGGAUGUUAACAAAGGCUCAGCAUGGAGUUUAACCUAAUGCCAACCUGAGAGUUGGGUCAUGACCUCAGAGAGAGAGAGAACUGAGUGG